This is a long non-coding RNA of Medicago truncatula (barrel medic), 3450 nucleotides long. RefSeq lists it as uncharacterized. The record is from RefSeq and is a predicted model, not a curated record. Lineage: Eukaryota; Viridiplantae; Streptophyta; Magnoliopsida; Fabales; Fabaceae. The transcript has 3 exons.
UUUAUACAAAGAAUUGAAACCGUGCAGCUUUAAGAAACAGUCUCUCUCUCGAAUCCAGCAUAAGAAUGAGAUUAGGGUGAGCGAUGAGCGAUGACCGUUAGAAGAGAAGAGAGUGAGCGUAUCAAGGAACUGAUUAAAGUAAUUUCAGUCACCAAAAAUUGAUUAUCGGAGGAUGAAAAUGAUUAUGUUGGAGGGUUAGGGUUUGGGUUUCAAGCAUCCAUUCAGGAUAGAUGUUUUGGACAACAACUCAUCUUCAAGGGUUUUCAAUCGAUUAUCGGAAGAUGAAAAUGAUUGAAAACGCUUGAAGAUGAGUUGUUGUCCACAGCAUCUAUCCCAUAAUGGAUGCUUGAAACCCAAAACCUAACCCUUCAACAUAAUCAUUUUCAUAUUCGGAUAAUCGAUUUCGGUGACUGAGAUUAUUUAAUCAGUUCCUUAAUACGCUCACUGCAUAGAACACAUACUGUGCGUAGGGCAAUGAAUGAGAUCAAUGCAGGCUGCUACUUGCUAGUGAAUUCAAAGGAGAAGCUGAUAAGGUGCUUAUUGUUAAAAAGGCAGAAGCAGAAGCCGAAUCAAUGUUUUUAGGCGGAGUUGGUGUGGCAAGGCAGAGGCAAGCUAUCACAGAUGGUGAUGGGAGAAUAUGGAUAUAGCAUAGAAUACAUACUGAUGGUGGAUAUUAUACCUGAUCCUUCUGUGCAGAGAGCAAUGAAUGAGAUCAAUGCAGGUAAUAAUACUUUGUGGUUUUUAGACUCUGUUUCUCAUCUUCCUAUGGCCAUAUCAAGCAGUAAAAUGCAUGUAUGCAGUAUACUCAAUCACAAAAUUUAAGUAUUGGGUUCUGAAAGAUUACUCUGCAUGUAUGCAGUAUACUCACUUUGUGCGCAUUCGCCCCUGCACAUGUGUUUAUCCCAUCUCUUUAGUGUUGUUAAAUAAUGUCUAUCAGCAUAGAGAAAUAUGAACUAAAUGCUCUUGCUCUGCAAUACACUAAUUAGUACAAAUGUUGUCAAAUAGAAACUAUAGUGACACAAUAACACUGUUGCAUAGUGGAACAUGAACAAACCACUAUUUUCCGUGAUCUGUGAUUAACAACACUGCAUCUGCUUGUCCAUAUAGGCAACCCAUGUAUGUUUGUUUAUUGCAUUUGUAUGCCCUUUAUGCAGUUUGACUAAGAGAAAUGAUUUUUUCAGAUAAAAAUUUUAAUGUCAAACACUGUCAUUUGGUUUUUGUGUGUAUUUUUUAAAUGUGUGUAUGUUGUAAAAGAUAAAAAGUAAGAGAGAGAUAGAGAUGAACAAAUGGUGUCACACGGUGUGUGUAUUUCUUUGUAGCAUCGACACUUUGGAUCGAAGGCAUGUCCGGUGUCCGACAUGUGUCAUCGUCUGACACGAGACCGGCACAUGUAUUUACACUGAACUAUGUUAUUUUUUCUCAUGUCAAUGAAUGAAUGUUAAAAUCAAAAAAUGAGUAAGUCAAUCAUCCUACUUUUUAGCUUCCAAUCUCUAUAUAUCUACUUUUUUUUCUCUCUAAAAUUGAGUUGCUUGCCCUCAUUUUGCUGAGCUUAGGGUUUCAAUGCCAUAUCUUGAUCCGCCUGCAAGAUUCAAUGCCAGAAAUGAUGAUAUGAAAAUAUGAAUAAUGCAGAAAAACUAUUGCUUCCAUGUUUGAUAAGGUGUCAACUUCUUGUCAUAUGGAUAUAUGCUGCUCACCAACCUAUAAUUAACAAAAAGAAAAUCAAAUGACUGACCUUGUGCUUAUGAAGCACGGACACCUGGCACGACACUGUCACGUCGACACCGAUAAAAUUUUGAAAAAUUAACAUAAUCUAAGGUAAUCACAAGUGUCAGUGUAGUGUCAUGUCAGACACAGGACACACUUUCAAUCAGAAGUGUUGGUGCAACAGAACCCUGUGCAGAUCUAUCGUGAACACGGAUCCUCUCUAUCUUUGCAUCUAAAUAUCGGCUAUUAGAUCAAGGAAUAAUCCAAAUUUUACGGCAGAUAGUUGGCUGUACCAGUAGAGGAUCUGAGUUGAUGUAUUGCAAGUAUUAACCUUACAGAAAAGCUGUUAGCAUAGAAUCCAGAUUAAAGUUGAAAUAUUUUGGAAAAAUAAGACGUUUGAUGAUGGUAAAGAAGAGCUGCACAUUUAUUUUUCCACAACAAUUAUACAUUACUAGUUCAAGCAUGUAGGACACUUUUUUCACAAACUAAAACUAAAUAUGAUAACUUCAAUCAAAUUAUAGAGAAAAAUUCUAAGCAAAUUAUUGCAAUAAGUGAUAUUAUUACAAUGAAAUCAUAGUCAAGUACAUAAGUUUUCAUGAUUGACGGUUUACUUGGUAAAUGAUAAAGGAAAAAUUAUGAAAGACAUUAAGCAUAGAGUAAUAUUACAAGCAUUCCCCAAAUCGCGACAUCCAGAGCCCGGACCGACUAAGUAAAUCCACCAUAACCUAGUUUUCAUAAAUUUUUCAAUACUUCUCCAUGGCCUAUCAGAAACAACACCCUUAGAACUUGAAAAGAAAGAAAUUGUUUUUAUCAAGCCACUGAUCACGGUUUCUCCUUGUACUUUUUCUGUCUAUACUGGAUUGUAAAGACAUUAAUAAUAACCUUUGUCAAACUGUUACAUGUUUACCGUGUUCGUGUUUACCGACGAUCUUCAUUGGAGAAUCAUGAUUCGGGUUUCAACUUCUGUGUUAUUUUUUACAAUUAACACAAAGCCUUUGAGAGUACUUCUGUGUUGUUUCAGUGAGGAUUGUCGGUAUACAUGAACAGUUUGACAAAAGUUAUUGUUAAUAUCUUUACGAUCUAGUAUAGACAAAGAAAUAGUACGAGGAGAAAGGUGAUCAAUGGUUUGAAAAAACAAUUUCUUUCUUUUUCAAGUUUAAAAGUGUUGUUUUCUGUCAAGCCUAGAGAAAUAUUAAGAGAUUUAAAAAAAAAACAAAGUUAUGUUUCACAUGCAAACUUUUGGAGUUCAGAAAUGGUUACAACAAGAUCAGCUUAAAAUCUCAGAUUUGAAGUAUCAUGAAGUGGGUUUGCAAGGUUGUAGUGAAGCAGUGAAGAAGUUGAAUGCUUUCUGCUAGACAAGAGAAGUUCAAAAUAGGGAAGAUGAGAAAGAAACUAGUGAUAAGAAUCCAAGUGAUAACUUUGAGAAAGUGAUAACAUAGGCAUGCAUUCAUGAUUUUAUUGAAUCAGUUCAUGCUUUUUGAGUAAUAAAUAUUGAUUCAGAGGAGUAUGUGAUUAAACUUGCUGUGAAUCUGGUUAAAAAGAUCUCCAAAGAAACUAAAUGGCCAUAUAUCAAGACCGUUCUCUUUAAUGUUUUGUUUUUCUCAAUAUACUAUCAAAGUUUCAUGAUUGAUAAUUUACUUGAGAUGUAAUGGUUCACUUAAAUUAUGAGAAAUGCUCUGAUAUCAAGGUAGUUUAACAGAAAAAUUAGUGCAGAUAAGCAAUGGCAUGUGCUGGUGGUAACAUAGA